This is a long non-coding RNA of Microtus ochrogaster (prairie vole), 1141 nucleotides long. RefSeq lists it as uncharacterized. The transcript is spliced from 3 exons. Lineage: Eukaryota; Metazoa; Chordata; Mammalia; Rodentia; Cricetidae. The record is from RefSeq and is a predicted model, not a curated record.
AGGGCGGGAUUUCCUGUGCUAAAGGAACAUCCACAGUCUGCCCUCAGCUUGCACAGUUCUGUCUGAAGUUAGGCCAACAAAGAACAUCCCACCCAAAGGGAAAGUUCUGCUGACUGAAAGAAAUACAAGAGAGGACAAAGAGGAGGGAGCAGGAAGGAAGACGCAAGAAGCUGGCAGAUGAGGGUGAUCGACUGAAAACCCAUGAAAGCACCCACUGAUGAAGCUCCUAAGUUCCUGUCCCCUUUCCUUGUCCCACCCCCACGUCCGGGCCUCUCUGGAACCCUCCUCACAUGUGCAGGAAGACACAGGACUGCACAAUAAGGAUCAGCUCAGGACACAGCUCUGGUGGAUGUAUACAAUAGAUGCCAUUGUGAAGACGAACUAAAACAUCUUGCCCUCAUCAGAGAGAGGGGAGGGAAACCCAGUAAAUGGAUUAAGGUGGCAACAAAGCCAGAAACAACAUGAGGACUCUGGGAAUGGUUUCUGAAAAACAAAGGAAGUUGACUGGCUGGCCUGUCUUUCUGCUUUCAAACCUGUGGUGGUCUGAGAUUUGGGUGCCUGUGGUCCUACAUCACAGAAGAUAGUAUUGCUCUGAGUGGAACAUCUUAUUGGGUCUUGUCGAGGCUGGUUGUGAACUCACCAGUACCUGAGGCUGACCUUGAACUCCUGCCUCUGUCUCCCAGUACUGGAAUUACAGGCAUGUGGCAUCAUGCCGGGCUCCAGCUUCAGCCUAGUUUCAUGAUGACUCUUGGAGUGUUAUCACCCCUGUGAGAGGAAAACUGAGACCCGAAGCCGAAGGAUGGUCAAGUUUCAUGUGUUAAAGACACUGGAGGUUUCGAUUUCUAAGAUCAGGAGCAAACCUUAAAGAAUUCUCUCUUCCUCAUUUAGGAGCCUGAGAAAUGAUUCAUGCAACUUUCAUUUGGCAACUGUCUGGGCAUGGAGGGCAGGGUUGAGACGAAGCAGGCAAGGCAUCCUGUGGCACAGCAAGUGUGGGGACAGAGGUGAGCUCUGGGAUGGGGGAGCACUCAGGGAGGCCUCAUGCGAUGAUUACAGAAGGGACAGUGAUACUGGGGCUCACCCAAGGGAAAGGAGGGUGAGAUGAGCAACAGCAGGCAAACCUGUGACACAGGCACUGUCACCC